Molecule: long non-coding RNA, 815 nt
Organism: Hippoglossus stenolepis (Pacific halibut)
Lineage: Eukaryota; Metazoa; Chordata; Actinopteri; Pleuronectiformes; Pleuronectidae
Exons: 3
Source: RefSeq, a predicted model, not a curated record
CCGCCGCUGGCACUUAUGUGCGUGGAGCAGCAGGACCAGCUGCUGCUGAAUGAGUUUGCGCUUCUCGGGGUCGGCCGUUGGGCCUGCUGACACUCCAGCCCCGGGGACCAUGCCCACCGACGCUACCUGCUGCAUCUGAGACUGGGACUGCAAAAGAAUGCCAAUACACAUCGGCCGAAGCAGCAGCCUGCUUCGCUUCGCGGAGGUUCCUCACUGCCAGCAGUGCUCAGACAGAGAGAGCAAGCCCAACCCAGCGGAGAGAGAGAGAGAGCGAGAGCGAGAGCGAGAGCGAAACGCAGACCCAGGAAGACCAGUCGAUCGAUACACGGUGAGGAAGAGAUAACUGUCGACGAGACAAGCGCCAACACCAGAUGAUGAAAAUAAUCAUCAUCAGGAUAAUUACAAAUAAAAAAAACUAUUUGCAAUAACUCAUAUGGCAGUGAUCAUUUCCUAAAAAAUUUACAAUGGAGUUAGAGAAGUUGUUUUGCAAAACUCAACAUAUAGGCCAUUAUUUUGGUGUCAAAAGUAAAAAAAACAAGUUGAAAACAAGUUCUUCUACUUAACAAGUUUUGGCAGAUAAUGUAAGACUGUUAACAACAUAAAGUGUAUGGAAAUUACUGUGGAUAAAGUCAUGAAAAAGUUGUUGCUGCUCUAUUGAUCAGGGUUUUUAAUAUCUUUUGUCAAGUCUACACAUUACAAAUGCAAGUGAAUAUUGGAACAUGUUAACAUUUGAUAUGUGUAACUGCCUGAAAUGACUGAUGUCGACUGAUGUUCAGUAGUUCGAAUUUGAUGUGUUUAAAAAUAUGAUCUUUCAU